UACGUAGGGGGCAAGCGUUAUCCGGAUUUACUGGGUGUAAAGGGAGCGUAGACGGCGGUGCAAGCCAGAUGUGAAAGCCCGGGGCUCAACCCCGGGACUGCAUUUGGAACUGUGCUGCUAGAGUGUCGGAGAGGCAGGCGGAAUUCCUGGUGUAGCGGUGAAAUGCGUAGAUAUCAGGAGGAACACCGGUGGCGAAGGCGGCCUGCGUGGACGGC
RNAcentral lists this ribosomal RNA (215 nucleotides) under uncultured bacterium. RNAcentral describes it as "partial 16S ribosomal RNA". It matches the Rfam family "Bacterial small subunit ribosomal RNA", at positions 524 to 737 of the family's 1533-position model. The record is from RNAcentral.